UAGGGAAUCUUCCACAAUGGACGAAAGUCUGAUGGAGCAACGCCGCGUGAGUGAUGAAGGGUUUCGGCUCGUAAAACUCUGUUGUUGGAGAAGAACGGGUGUCAGAGUAACUGUUGACAUCGUGACGGUAUCCAACCAGAAAGCCACGGCUAACUACGUGCCAGCAGCCGCGGUAAUACGUAGGUGGCAAGCGUCGUCCGGAUUUAUUGGGCGUAAAGCGAGCGCAGGCGGUUUUUUAGGUCUGAUGUGAAAGCCUUCGGCUUAACCGGAGAAGUGCAUCGGAAACCGGGAGACUUGAGUGCAGAAGAGGACAGUGGAACUCCAUGUGUAGCGGUGAAAUGCGUAGAUAUAUGGAAGAACACCAGUGGCGAAGGCGGCUGUCUGGUCUGCAACUGACGCUGAGGCUCGAAAGCAUGGGUAGCGAACAGGAUUAGAUACCCUGGUAGUCCAUGC
This 453-nucleotide ribosomal RNA is filed under the name uncultured bacterium. Its description in RNAcentral is "partial 16S ribosomal RNA". It matches the Rfam family "Bacterial small subunit ribosomal RNA", at positions 355 to 800 of the family's 1533-position model. The record is from RNAcentral.